This is a non-coding RNA of Alligator mississippiensis (American alligator), 426 nucleotides long. NCBI's taxonomy places the organism in Eukaryota, Metazoa, Chordata, Crocodylia, Alligatoridae. The record is from the annotation of a RefSeq genome assembly.
AUGGCCUGGGCCCCGCUCCUCGUGGUGCUCACGUACUGCUCAGGUUCCCUUGCCGAAUACGUGCUGACGCAGCCGCCCGCAGUGUCUGUGUCUCUAGGACAAACUGCUCAGCUCACGUGCAGGGGAGAAAAGUUUGACAAAAACUAUGUGUACUGGUACCAGCAGAAACCUGGCAGUGUCCCCAAGCUUGUGAUGUACAAGGAUAAAGAGAGGCCCUCUGAUGUCCCUGACCGGUUCUCUGGAGCCAGCUCUGGUGACACAGCCACCUUGACCAUCACAGGAGUCCAAGCCCAGGACGAGGCGAACUAUUACUGCCAGGUGUGGGAUAGCGACAGCAGCACUCACCACAGUGACACAGGGCAGUGGGGAAGGUCCCCCUGCAAGGAAGGGCACCAGGAGGGGCCCUGUCAGACCUGCCUGAAGUGA